GCCCCUCCCCCUUCCCCUUGCAGCCACCCUCCACUACUUCCUCCUCUCUCUAGAUCUCCCCCCACGCAGCAAGGAUCGAGAAGAGGAGGAGCAAGAUGGAUUGAAGAGGAAGAGAGGAUCAAGGAGAUGUUCUACCCCCAUCUCUUGCAGAUUUUCUUAGGGAAACCCUAGGUAAGGAUAGGAUCCUUGUUCCUCCCUAUAAUUAUAUGCUUUUGGAGGUUGUGGAUCAUGUGGAUUGAAGGAUUAGAGGUUGGAUUAGAUGUGGGGUUAGGUUUUGAUCUCGAAUUUAAUUUCUGCAGAAUGACAGAUUCAACAGUUUCUGUUCAUGUCAGUUUUCCGUGGUCUUAAUGGCCUCAAAAAAAUAAAAAGUCUAUAUAUGAGUCGUAUAUAAUUUGUAGGUCUUUCCGUGGCCAUGAAGAACACCUCAAUCGGACAUCAGAACAGAAAGUUAUUGCAGUUUGAUUAUAGCAGUUUUUCAGUCUCAUAAUUUUGUGCAGAAUCUGUUCUCUUAAGAGUUAGGCAAUUUUAUCAACAGAAUUAAACUGUGGGUUGGUAAAAUAAGUUGUAGAUAAUUUCAUAAGCUUUCCAGAUUGUUAAAGAGUGUAUUCAUAUGAUUUAUAAAACUCCAGUUAUGUUUGUUUUACUGUGGCUGUUCCUGUUUGCCUGACAAAAAUGAGUGGGUCUGUUCACUGGUGGGUUUCAUCUAGUAAAUGGCCUAAUUGGCUCUUCCAACUGUGGAGACUUUUGUAGAGGGAUAAAAGUUCUUACUGCCAGCAGAAUUUUAUAAUUUUUGGUUCAGUAGUUUGGGAGAUAUCGAAUUUUGAAGUUAACUAGGCUGCUGUCUAAAACAGAUUCAGUCAGUUAUCUUGUCAGAUGUUUUAGAAUAUAUUGAUGGCAGAAUUUAAUUAUCCAUUGAAUACCGAAGUUGUAGAUUGUUUUGUGUAGAUACUCUUAGAGUAUUUGUUUGAUAUCACCAAUGUUUUAAUUUUAAAGAUACAAAAUUAACAAACAGCGCUGCUGCUGUAUAGCAUGUGGUUCAGGGUGGGAGUCUUUCCACUAUGUCUUGGUUUCAAGUGUAGGAGUGUUUUGUUGAUUGCUAGCAAAUAUUUGUGAAAUAUUUGUACUAAGUUUUAUGCAGAUGAAGUCUUAUUUGAGGUAUGCAUGUGGUUCAUGAGAUUAAUUCACACCCCUGAAGGCAGAUGAAGUCUUAUUUGAGGUUUGCAUUGUAUCUAAAGGCAUAUGAAGUAUUAUUUGAGGAUUGCAUUGUAUCUGAAGGCAGAUAAAGUAUUAUUUGAGGUUUGUAUUGUAUCUAAAGGAAGUGAAAUUUAUUGAUAAAUGCAGCAUGCCAUAUACAUUGCAUGACUCAUUUGCAUCUGAAGUUUUGUCGUGACCUAUGGUCCGACCGUACCGGUACAACUUAGCAUCGUACGUUGCCCGAGAAGGGGUACGAUGCAGCUUCAUACCCUUAGAGGUAUGAAGGCAGAGGACAUAUGCAUUACAUUCAUAUGCAUACAUUGAAGUGAUAUUUGCAGAUGAUGUGGUUUUAUACCCUCAAAGGUAUGAAGAUAGAUGACCUACACAUUGCUUUCCUAUGCAUACAUUGAAGUGAUAUUUGCAGGUAUUGUUGAUGCAGGGAAGUGUUAUACAACAUAUUGUGGUUGUUCGAGGAAAUGAGAUGGUAUUAGUUAUAUUGUGACUACUGAGUUCUAUAUCUACAAGUAUUUCUGAUCUUGAUUGUGAUUCUUUUAAAAUGUUGAUUAAUUCAAUGUGGUUUAAAUAUCUCGUCAAAACAAUUAGCUUGCUGAGAUGUUUCAUCUCACUCUUGCAUUACUCAAUGCAGGUGCUUGUUGCUCAUCAAGGGGAGUGGGAAGUAGCAGCACAUACACCUUCACUCUCAUAAUAACGCUGCCCAGGCG
Molecule: long non-coding RNA, 1916 nt
Filed under: Zea mays
Lineage: Eukaryota; Viridiplantae; Streptophyta; Magnoliopsida; Poales; Poaceae
Description: long non-coding RNA (ZMAY_LNC001713)
Source: RNAcentral